Molecule: long non-coding RNA, 2801 nt
Filed under: Podarcis lilfordi (Lilford's wall lizard)
Lineage: Eukaryota; Metazoa; Chordata; Lepidosauria; Squamata; Lacertidae
Source: RNAcentral
UCUGCACAUAAAUGUGUAAAAAGGGUGUUAUGACAGUUUAUACCACAAACUUUACAGUAAGAAAAAGCACUUUUAUGACAAUUCACAAAUUCACAAGGAUCACUUUAAUAUACAAAGCAAUUACUAGCAUUCUGAAACACAAAGCAGUUAGUAUGUACACAAUGUUAAUAAAAAGCAGUGUAACUCAGUACAUGGGGUGGGGGGAAUAAACGCACAAAACAAUAAUUACAAAAUUAAAACAGGGGUGUUUCUAGGAAAUAGAGGAUUCUCAAAUGAAAUUAACCCAUCCCCAGUUCAUAUUUCUUUGCUCAGCAAUUUAAUUUCAAGAGGAAACUUUUUUCAAAGUUCAAUACCCUGUUUUGUGCUGAUUGUUUUGGGUGAAGAAUCAGAAAUGGGGGUGAAUUUUAGUUUCUCUUAAAUAAAAAUAGCAUAGCCAUCCCCAUUCCAGAAACUUGAAAUUUUGCAUUGUGAUUUCUUCAUGUGUAAACUGCCUUCCAAACGUAACGAAGGAGCUUUAGAGAAGGUGCUUCACUUGCACAACUUUCUCUCUGUGUGUUCUUGCAAGCAGAAUGGUCAUACAUAAAGUAGUAGGGUUGUAAAUGGAACUGAAGGCCUAGCAUUUAGUUUCUUCUUAUUUCAAAACAGAAACAAUUCUAUGACACAGAUGUGGAGUGGUAUCUGGCUCAAGUGCAACCGGUAGAAAACAUUUUAAAAACAAUCUCCCAAUUAUUUAUCAUGACCUUAUUGAAUACCAUCAAACUGUUUUAGGUCUCCUCUCCUCUUUCUUCCUGCCUCAGAUUGUCCAUCAAAUCAAUUUGCAGCCACGGCUCAAGUGACUGACUGAUACAGUAGUAUCUUGCUUAGAAUGAUACAGCCAAUGGUUGUUUUUAAAUCUGCACCAAUCUCUAACUUGAUUCCAUUAUCAACAGGUCAAUCGGGAGGAGAAAUUCAAGUGAGGAGAACCUCCAGAUAAUUAAGAGAGGUUUGAUGUGCCUUGGGUUCAAUGUGAGGCUAAGAGGCCACAUGUAAACAAUUCAGCAUAGUUAUUGUGGUAGGCAGUGGCGACUGGGUCAUAUUCAGAAAGCACUGCAAAAGAAUGGCAACCAUAGGACCUCGGUGCUUAAUUUUUGCAGCCACGUAUCCAUAAAUUAACGAGCUAAAUCCCAGCGUAGUUGUUCUCAGUUGCCUCAUUACACUGGGGUAAGCUACAGACCUCUUGACACCAAGCAACUCGGAAAUAAAUGCUGCAUUGGUGAAAACGUACGUGUGCACACAAACCCUGAGAAAGUGAGUGAAAGGGUACAGUAAGAUGCGGUGAGAUUCCUCGCAGGUAUAAGCAAGGGAGGGAUUCAAAAUAACAAUCCUGAACAAACCCUCAUCAUUUCUGACUCUGUAAACAUGACUUUAAAAUGUACGACCGCUCACUUCAAGCUAGCAGGGACCUGCAUUUGCAGUACCAAAAAUACAUUUGUGGUAUUAAAAAAAAAAAAGCCUGUCCGUUCACCUACGACUAUGGUUUACAUACAUUUUGAAGUUCCAAUGUUUCAGGAUGCAAAUAUAUCAGAAUGAAAUAUUUGGGAUUGCAUUCUGAUAUGCCGUCUACCGAUUUCUCAUCUUGCAGUGAAGCGAUGCAAUAAUUCUUAAGCUAUAGUCAGCAUGGAAGAUGAACGUAUCACAAGACAGUGCACUGCUAAAAUUUCAGCACCAUAUAUUUAACAGUUCCAAGCUGGCUGUGCUUCUCAAUGUGCUCAGAACAGAGGUUGGUGUACUUUAUAUCUAGAAAAUUUAGAAGACUUGAUAAAAUCUAUCCAUAGGCAUAAAGUAUGCAACCAUGGGUUUAUAGUAUAUAAAAAUAAACCCAUUUUAAGAGUCUUUAACUUUACAUCAACUCAUCUUAAUUGCCAGCAGGAAACACUCAGGAGUUGUGCUUUCUGAUAAAUCUGGGUGUGUUAUGUAGCUUCACUCUUUAAGGAAAACAAAUCCAUGCAUCUUACAUUUUUUUCAUCUGGACUCUAUCCUUGAAAUGUUCAGUUCUAUUCACAAACUACAAAAUGAAUUUAGUAUCACCAAAAUUUAGUUUCCCCUUUUCUCAUAUGAUUGUUCCAAUAAUUAAAUACAAUCCUCUGCCACAUUUCUAAUGUCAUUAAAAGGACUGUAAUCUUCCUAACUUCCACUGGACUGUAGAUUUUUGGUCCUGCCCUGCAGAUCCCCCUGCAAGAAUUGCCUCUUUUAAAGUUUAUCCUGAGAGUCAGUGGAUUAGCUAAAAGUAAUGAGAUAUAUACAAAUAGCAGGACCACAAUAAAUAUGCUAGACGCUCUUCAGAUUAAGAGCCAAGCUGCAUGAUCAAUACCCUCGAAGGCAAAAUUUGAACUGUACUGCCACUUCACACUGCAGAUGGCAAUUGAAAUGUUUGCCCAAACAUUAAAAACUAAGAUGUCAGUGGAAGGCUAUAGUAGAUCCUUCUCCAUAACACUAGUUUUUUUAUGGGCAGGAUUUUUAAAAAUACAUGUGGGAGCACAAUCAAACAUUCAGUCUCCACCUGCAGCAUGUAGUUGUACAUUCUAGCCUUCAACAGCACCCAAGGCUGCAGGUCAUGUAUUUGAGCUCAUUACCAAAACUGAUUUUGGUCAUACCACAAAAGUUCUCACCUUACUGGGAAUUAUUUAGCUUCAGAUAAUUGUUUCUGAAAUAGAGACACUAUAGAACCACCAGGCUUGUUUACAUGGAUGUGUGCUUUCACACUCAAGCAAUGCUGGAAUAAGAUACUAGAAACCACACAAAAGCAAGAAAACUGGAAAAAU